CGUGCACGUGUCACAGACUGCAUGGCUGCUGGGGUUUGCCCAGGAGGCGCGGCAUGCAGGACGGGAGUGCCGGCGCCCCCCCUGGCUCGGCGCUGGACUCGACGGUUCGAAGGAGCGGCCGAGCUGGGCCCAGCGUCGGCCUGGGAGCCCUCGGGGGA
This 158-nucleotide non-coding RNA is filed under the name Gonyaulax spinifera. Lineage: Eukaryota; Dinophyceae; Gonyaulacales; Gonyaulacaceae. The record is from RNAcentral.